RNAcentral lists this ribosomal RNA (727 nucleotides) under uncultured soil bacterium. Its description in RNAcentral is "bacterial SSU rRNA". It matches the Rfam family "Bacterial small subunit ribosomal RNA", at positions 28 to 767 of the family's 1533-position model. The record is from RNAcentral.
GACGAACUCUGGCCCGUGCUUAACACAUGCAAGUCGAACGAUGACGGAGGAGCUUGCUCCUCCUGAUUAGUGGCGAACGGGUGAGUAAUACGUGAGCAAUGUGCCCUUGACUCUGGGAUAAGCGCUGGAAACGGCGUCUAAUACCGGAUACGACGAUCGGAGGCAUCUCCUGGUCGUGGAAAGAACUUCGGUCAAGGAUCAGCUCACGGCCUAUCAGUUAGUUGGUGAGGUAAUGGCUCACCAAGACGACGACGGGUAGCCGGCCUGAGAGGGUGACCGGCCACACUGGGACUGAGACACGGCCCAGACUCCUACGGGAGGCAGCAGUGGGGAAAAUUGCACAAUGGGCGCAAGCCUGAUGCAGCAACGCCGCGUGAGGGACGAAGGCCUUCGGGUUGUAAACCUCUUUUAGCAGGGAAGAAGCGAAAGUGACGGUACCUGCAGAAAAAGCACCGGCUAACUACGUGCCAGCAGCCGCGGUAAUACGUAGGGUGCAAGCGUUGUCCGGAAUUAUUGGGCGUAAAGAGCUCGUAGGCGGUUUGUCACGUCUGCUGUGAAAACCCGAGGCUCAACCUCGGGCUUGCAGUGGGUACGGGCAGACUAGAGUGCGGUAGGAGAGAUUGGAAUUCCUGGUGUAGCGGUGGAAUGCGCAGAUAUCAGGAGGGACACCGAUGGCGAAGGCAGAUCUCUGGGCCGUAACUGACGCUGAGGAGCGAAAGCAUGGGGA